This 513-nucleotide ribosomal RNA is filed under the name uncultured Bacillota bacterium. Its description in RNAcentral is "bacterial SSU rRNA". It matches the Rfam family "Bacterial small subunit ribosomal RNA", at positions 355 to 859 of the family's 1533-position model. Lineage: Bacteria; Bacillati; Bacillota. The record is from RNAcentral.
UAGGGAAUCUUCCGCAAUGGACGAAAGUCUGACGGAGCAACGCCGCGUGAGCGAUGAAGGCCUUCGGGUCGUAAAGCUCUGUUGUUAGGGAAGAACAAGUACCGGAGUAACUGCCGGUACCUUGACGGUACCUAACCAGAAAGCCACGGCUAACUACGUGCCAGCAGCCGCGGUAAUACGUAGGUGGCAAGCGUUGUCCGGAAUUAUUGGGCGUAAAGCGCGCGCAGGCGGUCCUUUAAGUCUGAUGUGAAAGCCCACGGCUCAACCGUGGAGGGUCAUUGGAAACUGGGGGACUUGAGUACAGAAGAGGAAAGCGGAAUUCCACGUGUAGCGGUGAAAUGCGUAGAGAUGUGGAGGAACACCAGUGGCGAAGGCGGCUUUCUGGUCUGUAACUGACGCUGAGGCGCGAAAGCGUGGGGAGCAAACAGGAUUAGAUACCCUGGUAGUCCACGCCGUAAACGAUGAGUGCUAAGUGUUAGAGGGUUUCCGCCCUUUAGUGCUGCAGCUAACGCU